Molecule: ribosomal RNA, 253 nt
Filed under: uncultured bacterium
Lineage: Bacteria
Description: partial 16S ribosomal RNA
Rfam family: Bacterial small subunit ribosomal RNA
Source: RNAcentral
UACAGAGAUGGCAACCGUUGUUCGGAAUCACUGGGCUUAAAGCGCACGUAGGCGGGAUGGUAAGAUGGUUGUGAAAUACUCUGGCUUACCCAGGGAACUGCAAUCAUGACUGCCGUUCUGGAGUACGAGAGGGGAUAGUGGAACUCCUAGUGGAGCGGUGAAAUGCGUUGAUAUUAGGAGGAACGCCGGUGGCGAAAGCGACUAUCUGGUUCGAUACUGACGCUGAGGUGCGAAAGCUAGGGGAGCAAACGGG